CAAUAGCGUAUAUUAAAGUUGUUGCGGUUAAAAGCUCGUAGUUGGAUUUCUGCUGAGGACGACCGGUCCGCCUCUGGUGGAGUAUCUGGCUUGGCCUUGGGCAUUGCCUUUCGUUGGUAGUGAAACGUAGCUGCACUUGACUGUGUGGUGCGGUAUCCAGGACUUUUACUUUUGAGGAAAUUAGAGUGUUUCAAGCAGGCACACGCCUUGAAUACAUUAGCAUGGAAUAAUAAGAUAGGACCUUGGUUCUAUUUUGUUGGUUUCUAGAGCUGAGGUAAUGAUUAAUAGGGAUAGUUGGGGCGAUUCGUAUUUAACUGUCAGAGGUGAAAUUCUUGGAUUUGUUAAAGACGGAC
This 353-nucleotide ribosomal RNA is filed under the name uncultured eukaryote. Its description in RNAcentral is "bacterial SSU rRNA". It matches the Rfam family "Eukaryotic small subunit ribosomal RNA", at positions 592 to 940 of the family's 1831-position model. The record is from RNAcentral.